AUGAGGAUGAUGAAGAUGAUAAUUGGCAAAUGUAUCAUGUCAGAGAAUCACACUUGAAAAUUAAUAAUUAUUAUGAGAACAUUGUCCUUCUGUAUUCUGUCACAGAUAAUGACAAAAGCCCUUUUCCGCAUCGUGUGAUUUCACUUUUAGGAUGACUUUUAUUAAGCUCCGAUUAGCUUAACCAUUCUAGUAACUUUGUAGGAUUCCAACUGAAACAGAUGUCAGAGACGUUCUCUGGAGACGUUCUCCAACAUCAUUUUAGAAGGAAUCCUGCAAAGUUACUAAGGCUACGUUCCAAAACUUCCUCUCCGAGGAAGAUUUUACUCUAUAUACUAUAGUAUACGUUAUGUGUACUAUAUAUUGGAUCAUCUAAAAAGUAUCCGCGGUUUUUUGUCACUAGAUGGUGUUGAUGAUCAACACAUAUAUUUUGAGUAAGUUUUAGCCUAGAAUGAUUAAGAUAACUGGAGCUUGGUAAAAGUCACUUUUAGGGCUUCUUUCAUCGACACCAAUUAACGCUAAUCGAUGAUUAACUCAAUCAUUACGAUUACCAACGUGAGAACUAAACACAGAAGAGAAAGAAAAACACAAGUAGCUACUAAAUGCCCAUUAUCCUUAAAAGACACUAUGAUAUGAAUACUAUAGGCAGCAUCUUGGACAAUAUGAAAAUCAUUAAGAAAAUAGAUUUGUGGAUUUUUAAUAUAUUAUCCAACAGAAGAGAGCCGGAAAACAUGUGCAUCAUGCACCGAUCCAAUAUUUUCAGCAGAACGCUUGUAAAGAGCAAUUUUUGAGUACAAACUACCUAAAAAGAUAAAAUAGAAACUAAUAAAUGUUAUCAGGUUAUGAACUCCGUCAGGAUGAGGUAUGUGUAUCAGUUCAGUUGUAGAUAGCUGUAGCAAGGAAACGUAUGAUAGCUCUCCAUUGCGAAUACAAUAUGGCUGGUUUAAUUAGAUAGGGGUACCACCAAUCAGAAAUCGCGACGCCGAUGUCGCUUCUCUCAUAUAUAGGACUUUAGGACCGACCACUAAGGCCAUAGCACAGACUUUUGCGUAUUAAUGCAUAAAUCAACUAGUGUACAAGUAAAUCAACUAAUCAGAAUCUUUCCUUUCCUCCUAUU
Molecule: long non-coding RNA, 1114 nt
Filed under: Acromyrmex echinatior (Panamanian leafcutter ant)
Lineage: Eukaryota; Metazoa; Arthropoda; Insecta; Hymenoptera; Formicidae
Description: uncharacterized LOC105149800, transcript variant X2
Source: RNAcentral